This 73-nucleotide transfer RNA is filed under the name Ictidomys tridecemlineatus (thirteen-lined ground squirrel). Its description in RNAcentral is "Spermophilus tridecemlineatus (thirteen-lined ground squirrel) tRNA". It matches the Rfam family "tRNA". From Rfam's summary of the family: Transfer RNA (tRNA) molecules are approximately 80 nucleotides in length. Their secondary structure includes four short double-helical elements and three loops (D, anti-codon, and T loops). The record is from Rfam by way of RNAcentral. Lineage: Eukaryota; Metazoa; Chordata; Mammalia; Rodentia; Sciuridae.
GGGAAUGUAGCUCAGUUGGUAGAGUGCUUGCCUAGCAUGUGCAAGGCCCUGGGUUCAAUCCCCAGCACCACCA